Molecule: ribosomal RNA, 468 nt
Filed under: uncultured bacterium
Lineage: Bacteria
Description: partial 16S ribosomal RNA
Rfam family: Bacterial small subunit ribosomal RNA
Source: RNAcentral
GACGAACGCUGGCGGCGUGCUUAACACAUGCAAGUCGGACGGAAAGGCCCUGCUUUUGUGGGGUGCUCGAGUGGCGAACGGGUGAGUAACACGUGAGUAACCUGCCCUUGACUUUGGGAUAACUUCAGGAAACUGGGGCUAAUACCGGAUAGGAGCUCCUGCUGCAUGGUGGGGGUUGGAAAGUUUCGGCGGUUGGGGAUGGACUCGCGGCUUAUCAGCUUGUUGGUGGGGUAGUGGCUUACCAAGGUUUUGACGGGUAGCCGGCCUGAGAGGGUGACCGGCCACAUUGGGACUGAGAUACGGCCCAGACUCCUACGGGAGGCAGCAGUGGGGAAUAUUGCACAAUGGGCGGAAGCCUGAUGCAGCAACGCCGCGUGCGGGAUGACGGCCUUCGGGUUGUAAACCGCUUUCGCCUGUGACGAAGCGUGAGUGACGGUAAUGGGUAAAGAAGCACCGGCUAACUACGUG